Molecule: ribosomal RNA, 213 nt
Filed under: uncultured bacterium
Lineage: Bacteria
Description: partial 16S ribosomal RNA
Rfam family: Bacterial small subunit ribosomal RNA
Source: RNAcentral
UACGGGGGGGGGCAAGCGUUUGUUCGGAAUUACUGGGCGUAAAGGGCUCGUUAGGCGGCCAACUAAGUCAGACGUGAAAUCCCUCGGCUUAACGGGGAACUGCGUCUGAUACUGGUUGGCUUUGAGUGUGGGAGAGGGAUGCGGAAUCCAGGUGUAGCGGUGAAAUGCGUAGAUAUCUGGAGGAACACCAAUGGCGAAGGCAGGUCUCUGGGC